AAUAUGUCACAAUGGAGGAAACUCUGAUGCAGCGACGCCGCGUGAGCGAUGAAGGCUUUCGUGUCGUAAAGCUCUUUCCUAGGGGACGAUAAUGACGGUACCCUAGGAGGAAGACCCGGCUAACUAAGUGCCAGCAGCCGCGGUAAUACGUAGGGGGCGAGCGUUGUCCGGAAUUAUUGGGCGUAAAGGGUUCGCAGGCGGCCUUUUAAGUCAGAUGUGAAUGCCCACGGCUUAACCGUGGUAAGCAUUUGAAACUGGAAGGCUUGAGUUAAGGAGAGGAAAGUGGACUUCCUAGUGUAGCGGUGAAAUGCGUAGAUAUUAGGAGGAAUACCAGUGGCGAAGGCGACUUUCUGGACUUAUACUGACGCUGAGGAACGAAAGCGUGGGGAGCAAAC
Molecule: ribosomal RNA, 395 nt
Filed under: uncultured bacterium
Lineage: Bacteria
Description: partial 16S ribosomal RNA
Rfam family: Bacterial small subunit ribosomal RNA
Source: RNAcentral